Molecule: ribosomal RNA, 203 nt
Filed under: uncultured bacterium
Lineage: Bacteria
Description: partial 16S ribosomal RNA
Rfam family: Bacterial small subunit ribosomal RNA
Source: RNAcentral
AAUCAACGCUGGCGGCGUGCCUAACACAUGCAAGUCGAACGCGAAAGCCCCGCAAGGGCAAGUAGAGUGGCAAACGGGUGAGUAACACGUGGGUGACCUGCCUUCGAGUGGGGAUAACGUCCCGAAAGGGACGCUAAUACCGCAUGACAUCCUGCCUUUGGACAGGCGGAGAUCAAAGCUGGGGAUCGCAAGACCUGGCGCUU